GGCUGCACCAUCACCACUGAGGCCCUGUUCACCUUCUGACCCCCGGUCCCCAGCCCCUUACGCCCUUCAGCUUUGGGCAGGGUUUGGGGCACCAGGCCUAGAACGUUCUUAGCCAUCAUCUUCGGGCUGGUGGCAGAGCCCCCAGGCAGAACCACAGCCUUUCGGGCCAGCACUAGCUGCCAUCAGCAUGGCAGUGCUGGCGUUCUGGAUGGUGGCCACGGGCAGCACUGUGCCUUUCAGCCUUGUGCCGUCGCCCAGCUGCACACUCACCACCUUCGGGGCCUCGGGGGCUGGAGCCGCAGGGGACAGCUUCAGGAGGCUCAGCCUCGGCCAGGAAGGCCCCCCUCGGCCAAGGGGCAGGGCGGUCAGGGUCUGAGGGGACCCGGGUUACAGUCCUCGUGAUAUUCCCACAGGAUGUCUUAAUGGUCUUGAUCCGCACCUUGAGGGGCCGAGAGGAGUUGGAGGAGGCAGGGAGUCGUUGCUGUCCUCAUCUGCAGCCUCGGCACCACUAGAGGGACUCUGGGGACUUCGAGGGGGGAGACUUGACCACCAGCCCCUCAUCUUCCUUCAGCCUGGGCCCUUCCCCUUCCUGCACCCCCAGCCAGGGUCUCAGACUGCUCCGGACACACAGUGUUCUUCACGAUGACGCUGACUGUGGAAGUGUCUGGCACUGCAGGCCGUGCUCAGAGCGGCAGGUCCCAGACCUGAUGAAAACAGGAAGAAAAAGGAGAAACUGAGAAGCCUGGAUGAGAUCCUGGACCUCCUCCCUCAGAACCUGUCUAUCCCCUCCAGCCGGGUACACCUCGGCUGGACUGGGUCCUGAGGAGCUGCUGCAGGGGCUGGCGUCCCACACCAGCAAGCCACAGGAACCCAGCAAAUGCAAAGGAAGACACUCGGGCUGGGGAUGUAGCUCGGCAGCCCAGCACCUGCCUGGCAAGCGCAAGGCCCUGAACUCAUUUCUCAGUACCAAAAAAAAGGAAAACACUGCACAGACACAGAAAAGAGUAACAGGGGCAGAAGGGCUCGUGGGACAUCUUAGUUGAAACCAGCACAUCCAUUCCUGUGCCCAGCACAGAGCCAAUCAAUCAAUACCAAUAUUAAGGAGGAAG
This 1109-nucleotide long non-coding RNA is filed under the name Heterocephalus glaber (naked mole-rat). Its description in RNAcentral is "lncRNA (ENSHGLG00100043592.1)". The record is from RNAcentral. Lineage: Eukaryota; Metazoa; Chordata; Mammalia; Rodentia; Bathyergidae.